This 82-nucleotide transfer RNA is filed under the name Xenopus laevis (African clawed frog). It matches the Rfam family "tRNA". From Rfam's summary of the family: Transfer RNA (tRNA) molecules are approximately 80 nucleotides in length. The record is from Rfam by way of RNAcentral. Lineage: Eukaryota; Metazoa; Chordata; Amphibia; Anura; Pipidae.
GACGAGGAGGUUGACUGGUUAAAGCGAUGGACUGCUAAUCCAUUGUGCUUUGCCCACAUGGGUUCAAAAUCCAUCCGCGUCG